GACGAACGCUGGCGGCGUGCUUAACACAUGCAAGUCGAACGGAAAGGCCCCUUUGGGGGUACUCGAGUGGCGAACGGGUGAGUAACACGUGAGUAACCUGCCCUUGACUUCGGGAUAACUUCAGGAAACUGGGGCUAAUACCGGAUAGGAAUCCUUGCUGCAUGGUGGGGGUUGGAAAGCUUCGGCGGUUUUGGAUGGACUCGCGGCUUAUCAGCUUGUUGGUGGGGUAGUGGCUUACCAAGGCUUUGACGGGUAGCCGGCCUGAGAGGGCGACCGGCCACAUUGGGACUGAGAUACGGCCCAGACUCCUACGGGAGGCAGCAGUGGGGAAUAUUGCACAAUGGGCGGAAGCCUGAUGCAGCAACGCCGCGUGCGGGAUGACGGCCUUCGGGUUGUAAAACGCUUUCAGCAGGGGCGAAGCUUGUGGUGACGGUACCUGCAGAAGAAGCACCGGCUAACUACGUG
Molecule: ribosomal RNA, 465 nt
Filed under: uncultured bacterium
Lineage: Bacteria
Description: partial 16S ribosomal RNA
Rfam family: Bacterial small subunit ribosomal RNA
Source: RNAcentral